GGGAUUAGGGUUCGAUUCCGGAGAGGGAGCCUGACAAACGGCUACCACAUCUAAGGAAGGCAGCAGGCGCGCAAAUUACCCAAUUCUAACAGCAUAAGAGAGGUAGUGACAAGAAAUAACAGUACAAGGCAGUUAAAAUGCUUUGUAAUUGGAAUGAUAGAAAUUUAAAUACUUUUUAAAGUAUCAAUUGGAGGGAAAGUCUGGUGCCAGCAGCCGCGGUAAUUCCAGCUCCAAUAGCGUAUAUUAAAAUUGUUGCAGUUAAAAAGCUCGUAGUUGAAUUUUUGCUAAAAAUAACCGGUGUGCUUUUAUUAAUAAAAGUGGUAUCUUGGUGUGUUUUUAGCAAUAAUGUCCUUUGAAAUGUUUUUUACUUUAUUGUAAAAAACAAAUUUCAGGAUUUUUACUUUGAGAAAAUUAGAGUGUUUCAAGCAAGCUAACGUUUUGAAUACUGCAGCAUGGAAUAAUAAAAUAGGAUUUUAGUUCUACGUUAUUGGUUUUAAGAACUAAAUUAAUGAUUGAUAGGGACAGUUGGGGGCAUUUGUAUUUAACUGUCAGAGGUGAAAUUCUUAGAUU
This 570-nucleotide ribosomal RNA is filed under the name Hepatozoon sp. 777a. Its description in RNAcentral is "bacterial SSU rRNA". It matches the Rfam family "Eukaryotic small subunit ribosomal RNA", at positions 366 to 926 of the family's 1831-position model. Lineage: Eukaryota; Apicomplexa; Hepatozoidae. The record is from RNAcentral.